This 460-nucleotide ribosomal RNA is filed under the name uncultured bacterium. RNAcentral describes it as "partial 16S ribosomal RNA". It matches the Rfam family "Bacterial small subunit ribosomal RNA", at positions 338 to 795 of the family's 1533-position model. The record is from RNAcentral.
CCUACGGGGGGCAGCAGUGAGGAAUAUUGGUCAAUGGACGCAAGUCUGAACCAGCCAUGCCGCGUGCAGGAAGACGGCUCUAUGAGUUGUAAACUGCUUUUGUACGAGGGUAAACGCAGAUACGCGUAUCUGUCUGAAAGUAUCGUACGAAUAAGGAUCGGCUAACUCCGUGCCAGCAGCCGCGGUAAUACGGAGGAUUCAAGCGUUAUCCGGAUUUAUUGGGGUUAAAGGGUGCGUAGGCGGUCGGAUAAGUUAGAGGUGAAAUCCCGAGGCUCAACUUCGGAAUUGCCUCUGAUACUGGUCGGCGAGAGAGUAGUUGCGGUAGGGGGAAUGUAAGGUGUAGCGGGGAAAGGCUUAGAGAUCAUACAGAACACCGGUUGCGAAGGCAGCUUACCAAGCUACUUCUGACGUUGAGGCACGAAAGCGUGGGGAGCAAACAGGAUUAGAUACCCCUGUAGUC